GGCCUUUUGAUAAUAAUUUUAGGUCUAGCCUGCCCACUGAAUGUUUAAAGGGCCGCAGUAUUUUGACUGUGCAAAGGUAGCAUAAUCAUUAGUUUCUUAAUUAGGAGCUGGAAUGAAUGGUUGAAUGAGAAAAUAACUGUCUAUAAUUUUAAUUAAUGUGAAUUUUAUUUUUAAGUUAAAAAGCUUAAAUUAUAUUAAAAGACGAGAAGACCCUAUAGAUUUUAAUAAAAUAAAAAUUUUUAAUUUUUAGAAAUUUAAUUUAAGUAUAAUAAUUUUAUUUGAUUGGGGUGAUUGAAAAAUUAAAUGAACUUUUUAUUUUUAAAAACAUAAAUUUAUGAAUAUAAUGAUCCAAGAAUUUUGAUUAUAAGAUUAAAUUACCUUAGGGAUAACAGCGUUAUUUUUUAUGAGAGUUCAAAUCGAAUAAGAAGAUUGCGACCUCGAUGUUGGAUUAAAAUAAAGUUUUGGUGUAGAAGCUAAAAUAUUAGGUCUGUUCGACCUUUAAAAUUUUACAUGA
RNAcentral lists this ribosomal RNA (514 nucleotides) under Colobothea seriatomaculata. RNAcentral describes it as "partial large subunit ribosomal RNA". It matches the Rfam family "Bacterial large subunit ribosomal RNA", at positions 1825 to 2603 of the family's 2925-position model. Lineage: Eukaryota; Metazoa; Arthropoda; Insecta; Coleoptera; Cerambycidae. The record is from RNAcentral.